This is a small nuclear RNA of Ailuropoda melanoleuca (giant panda), 107 nucleotides long. The record is from Ensembl. NCBI's taxonomy places the organism in Eukaryota, Metazoa, Chordata, Mammalia, Carnivora, Ursidae.
GCGAGCCUGAGCCUCGCAUACGCUACAAUGGGAACCGAGUACGGAGAAAACCAGCAUGGCUCCCGCGCGAGGCUGACUCAAACAUUCGCGAAGCAUUCCAUAUUUAA